AUGGCCGGCACUGCUCUUCCGGCUGCGACGACAAACGCACACGGCGGGGCCAGGGGGCUCCGAGCCUUGGCCCCCGCCUUGCGGCGGGUGCAGUGGCCACCCAAGUUCAAGCCAGAGAUGCCGCCGCGCUACGAUGGCGCGACGGACCCGUCGUCUUUCCUGUUGGCAUAUGAAGGGGCCGUCUUGAAGGCUGGGGGCGACGACAAGGUCAUAGCCAACUGGCUUCCCAUGGCCCUCACUGGGGCACCGCGCUCCCAGCUGCUCAACCUCCCAGGAUCUACGGUGACAUCUUGGGAGGAGCUGCGCAACCUCUUCACUGAGCGAUUCGCGGUACCGGAGCCCCGCGCUGUCGCGGCCCUCCUCGGCGGCUCACAAGUGCCGCCCUCGGACCGUCACGCCAAGCCGUUCUUUCGCCAGAUCGGUGCCGCCUCCACGCGGCAGGGCGCUCCUCCAGGUUGGGCGGCGCCCAAGGCCGACCUGACCUUCGACUCGGGAGAUCACCCCAUCACCACCGUCGGCUCGGGCGUGCUCCCAAUGCUUUGCACGCCCACCAUCUGCAGCGUGGCCGUUACCAAGACCCUCAUCGACAGCGGCGCCGGCCUCAACGUGCUCUCUGUGGAGGCUUUUAGCCUCCUUCAUGUACCGCUCGAGCGGCUCCGCCCCAGCAAGCCCUUCUCCGGGGUCGGCGGCGGCUCCUCCAGUCCCCUAGGGCAGAUCUGUCUUCCCGUGAGCUUCUGCACCCGUGACAACUACCGCACAGAGCUGAUUGACUUCGAAAUCACCCACAUCGGCCUUCCGUACAAUGCCAUCCUCGGGUACCCAGCUCUGGCUCAGUUUAUGGCGGCGACCCAUCCGGCCUACAACCUCAUGAAGAUGCCCGGGAGCAAGGGCGUCCUGACUGUAGUUGGAGAUACCAAGGAGGCUCUGGUGGCACUCAAGCUUGCCCUCAAGGCCGCCGUGAUGGCGCGCCCGGCCGACAAGGCCACCUCUGGAGCUAAGGAGGCCGAGCCAGCCAAGAAGUAG
This 1023-nucleotide ribosomal RNA is filed under the name Triticum aestivum (bread wheat). Its description in RNAcentral is "partial small subunit ribosomal RNA". The record is from RNAcentral. Lineage: Eukaryota; Viridiplantae; Streptophyta; Magnoliopsida; Poales; Poaceae.